GGAGGGUCCAAGCGUUGUCCGGAUUUAUUGGGUGUAAAGGGUGUGUAGGCGGGCUUGUAAGUCAGAGGUGAAAUCCUACGGCUCAACCGUAGAACUGCCUUUGAUACUGCAGGUCUUGAGUCCUGGAGAGGUUGUUAGAAUUCGUGGUGUAGCGGUGAAAUGCGUAGAUAUCACGAGGAAUACCGGUUACGAAGGUUGACAACUGGACAGGUACUGACGCUGAGGCACGAAAGCGUGGGGAGCAAACAGGAUUAGAUACCCUGGUAGUCCACGCCGUAAACGAUGAUCACUCGGUGUCGCGGAGUAAUCUGCGGUGCCUAAGCUAACGCAUUAAGUGAUCCACCUGGGGAGUACGAUCGCAAGGUUG
This 367-nucleotide ribosomal RNA is filed under the name uncultured organism. RNAcentral describes it as "partial 16S ribosomal RNA". It matches the Rfam family "Bacterial small subunit ribosomal RNA", at positions 527 to 896 of the family's 1533-position model. The record is from RNAcentral.